RNAcentral lists this transfer RNA (69 nucleotides) under Clionella kraussii. RNAcentral's name for it is "tRNA-Lys". It matches the Rfam family "tRNA". Rfam says of the family: Transfer RNA (tRNA) molecules are approximately 80 nucleotides in length. Lineage: Eukaryota; Metazoa; Mollusca; Gastropoda; Neogastropoda; Clavatulidae. The record is from RNAcentral.
UCUUAGAUGACUGAGCUAAAUAAGUGCUAGAUUUUUAAUCUAGAGACGGUAUAUUACUACCUCUAAGAG